UGCCAACGGGGACAGCAGAGGAUGAGAUGAGAUCUCUUUGACCCUUCGAAAAGCCUUUGGAAAAUCUGCCAGUCGCGUUCUCUUGAAGGCAGCCCUCUCUCUCUCUCUCUCUCCGGAGAGAGAGAGAGAAUUAAGAGUUGGUGGGGCUAAGAAGAGUGCAAAAAGAAAAGAGAAGAGCCUUUUGUUCCCUUUAGAGAUGAGCACUAAAUGUUGAGCCGGUGAGCGAUCAAAGGCCUCUGGGGUAGCUUUCUGGCGGUCCAUUUACUCCUCUCCUUCUUUCCUGUUCCUUUAGAGAUGAUGGAAGAGUCCUUGCCAUCCCUUCUCCCUCUCCUUUGCGGUACUCCCUUCCUCUCCACCAUUAUAAUCCAUAACCAGCAAAGGUGAGUCCCCAUCAAGCUCUCAUUUUUAUCAACCAGUCAGGGCUCAUCACCGAUGGACAAUCUCGGCAGAGUCAUCAUCUUAACGAUGGUGCUGGUCUCCAUCGUCGCUGCAUCCGUCACGCUGGCUCAAGAGAUCGGAUCGAUAUCUUCUUCUCCUUCACCAACUUACUACUCUUCUAUCAACACUACUUUGGAAGAAAAGAGGGCAGUACCAACUGGUUCGAAUCCUCUCCAUAACAAGUAGACGUGCGGCAUGGCUGGCCAAGGUGAAAGCUCUUCGGAUGAUUCGGUUUUCGAAAGAUGUUUGGCUUUUUUAUCUAUCGUAUGUUUCAAUGUCUGUAAACUUGAUCUUUCUCCACUAAUGCCUACACCCGAUAAGUUGCUAUCUCAAAGGUGAUUUAUUGUUUAAUGAGGCAGUAAUUAAUGCGUGGCCAUAUCACCAUUGUCAUGGAGAUUGCGUGAUACUUAUUAACACAUUCUAGUUUUCUGUUCCAGUACCAAAGAUUGAUGUAUAUCUGAAAUAUAAAUACGUGAUCUUAAUGCUAUUCAAAUGAAGAGCUGUUGUUUAUCA
This 951-nucleotide long non-coding RNA is filed under the name Elaeis guineensis (African oil palm). RNAcentral describes it as "long non-coding RNA (EGUI_LNC025531)". Lineage: Eukaryota; Viridiplantae; Streptophyta; Magnoliopsida; Arecales; Arecaceae. The record is from RNAcentral.